AUUGAACGCUGGCGGCAGGCCUAACACAUGCAAGUCGAGCGGAUGAAGGGAGCUUGCUCCUGGAUUCAGCGGCGGACGGGUGAGUAAUGCCUAGGAAUCUGCCUGGUAGUGGGGGAUAACGUCCGGAAACGGGCGCUAAUACCGCAUACGUCCUGAGGGAGAAAGUGGGGGAUCUUCGGACCUCACGCUAUCAGAUGAGCCUAGGUCGGAUUAGCUAGUUGGUGGGGUAAAGGCCUACCAAGGCGACGAUCCGUAACUGGUCUGAGAGGAUGAUCAGUCACACUGGAACUGAGACACGGUCCAGACUCCCACGGGAGGCAGCAGUGGGGAAUAUUGGACAAUGGGCGAAAGCCUGAUCCAGCCAUGCCGCGUGUGUGAAGAAGGUCUUCGGAUUGUAAAGCACUUUAAGUUGGGAGGAAGGGCAGUAAGUUAAUACCUUGCUGUUUUGACGUUACCAACAGAAUAAGCACCGGCUAACUUCGUG
This 484-nucleotide ribosomal RNA is filed under the name uncultured bacterium. RNAcentral's name for it is "partial 16S ribosomal RNA". It matches the Rfam family "Bacterial small subunit ribosomal RNA", at positions 30 to 507 of the family's 1533-position model. The record is from RNAcentral.